GGAUGUGAGGGUGAUCUAGCUAUGACAUCUAUCACCCCAUUGAUCGCCAGGGUUGAUUCAGCUGAUCUGGCUGGCUAGGUGGGCGACCCCUUCCUCCCUUACAGCUCCAUGUGCAUCCCUCCCGAAGCUGCAUGCUCAGUCAAAGAGGAUGGCCUUCCCCGAAUAGAGACUGACCGGUCUUUGGUCUAAGGUAUAAGAGUAGCUGCGCUCCCCUGCUAGAACCUCCAAACAAGCUCUCAAAAAUGGUUGGUUGACUUGACAUGCUGGCUGCAGUUGUUGGCU
Non-coding RNA from Erinaceus europaeus (western European hedgehog), 282 nucleotides. NCBI's taxonomy places the organism in Eukaryota, Metazoa, Chordata, Mammalia, Eulipotyphla, Erinaceidae. The record is from Rfam.